AUUGAACGCUGGCGGCAGGCUUAACACAUGCAAGUCGAGCGAGAGGCGGACGGGUGAGUAAUGUCCGGGAAACUGCCUGAUGGAGGGGGAUAACUACUGGAAAAGGUACCUAAUACCGCAUACGAUCAGAUGUGCCCAGAGGGGAUUAGCUAGUAGGGGGGGUAAUGGCUCACCUAGGCGACGCUCCCUAGCUGGUCUGAGAGGAUGACCAGCCACACUGGAACUGAGACACGGUCCAGACUCCUACGGGAGGCAGCAGUGGGGAAUAUUGCACAAUGGGCGCAAGCCUGAUGCAGCCAUGCCGCGUGUGUGAAGAAGGCCUUCGGGUUGUAAAGCACUUUCAGCGAGGAGGCGUUACUCGCAGAAGAAGCACCGGCUAACUCCGUGCCAGCAGCCGCGGUAAUUC
This 406-nucleotide ribosomal RNA is filed under the name uncultured bacterium. RNAcentral describes it as "partial 16S ribosomal RNA". It matches the Rfam family "Bacterial small subunit ribosomal RNA", at positions 30 to 526 of the family's 1533-position model. The record is from RNAcentral.